UACGUAGGGGGCAAGCGUUGUCCGGAUUUAUUGGGCGUAAAGAGCGUGUAGGCGGCUAGAUAGGUCCGUUGUGAAAACUCGAGGCUCAACCUCGAGACGUCGAUGGAAACCAUCUGGCUAGAGUCCGGAAGAGGAGAGUGGAAUUCCUGGUGUAGCGGUGAAAUGCGUAGAUAUCUGGAGGAACACCGGUGGCGAAGGCGGCAUCCUGGACCGGUAUUGACGCUGAUGCGCGAAAGCCAGGGGAGCAAACGGG
This 253-nucleotide ribosomal RNA is filed under the name uncultured bacterium. RNAcentral describes it as "partial 16S ribosomal RNA". It matches the Rfam family "Bacterial small subunit ribosomal RNA", at positions 524 to 776 of the family's 1533-position model. The record is from RNAcentral.